Molecule: long non-coding RNA, 1778 nt
Filed under: Homo sapiens (human)
Lineage: Eukaryota; Metazoa; Chordata; Mammalia; Primates; Hominidae
Description: HSALNT0338696
Source: RNAcentral
UACAAUUUAAUGCCUAUUUUUGUCACAUAAGAGGCCAAAGAUUCCAGAUGGUUAACAUUUUAAUUGAAGUUAACAUGGAAGAUAAAUGAAACAAGCUUGACUGGUCAGUAGAAAUUAGGUUCUCUGCAAUUUUGAAGGUGAAGAGAAAAUUGAACUGUCACUAACAUGAGGACUUCAAAAGGAAUAGUGGGACAACCCAGGAGAGAAAGCGUGGGACUCCCAGAGAUGGAGGCUGAGGCAAUGUGUCCCAGCAUGUGAGCGGCAGGCUUGGAUGUGGAUUCCCUCCAUGUAGCAACAGCACGAACCAGCCCUAGACUUACUCUUUUUUUUUUCCCAACGGAUGACCUGGACAUUCUGAAGUUGCAUUAAUAGCAAGUUUAUAUUCCUAAUAUAAAUACAUCUCCUCUGAGUCUUGGAAAAUGGGAUCAACUUAAUUGUCUCCACAUGUAUGCUCUGGGGAGCCUGGUCCUCACUGAACCCCAGUUACAAAACCUACAGCAAAUUUUUGUCCAGAUCACUGUCCAUCCAGCUUGCCGUGUUCUGGAGGAAGAUGUUUUGUUUUAUAGUUUGUGCUAUAGUCAUGAGAACAAGCAGCUUGUGUUCUAUAUCUUCUUACUUUUUGAAGCAAGUGUGCUGGGUACUGUUCACGCUGAUCAGCCCUAGGCCUGGGGGCCGUGCCCUUGCAGCCACUCUGAAGCCAGUGCCCAGCCUUGUGCCUGGGAGACCAGGGAGGCUGGGGAGGGAGGCCGGGGAAGCUGACUGCACGGCAGCUGAGGUCACAGCUGCUUGUGGAGAGAAGCUUCAAGUUGACAUCACUGUGAGCUAAAACCGUGGCUACCCUCCGGAUAACAAAGCAAGCUAUUGGCAGGAAGAAAGGGAAAAUUACGAAAAUUAAACAAGGCAAGCAUUAAUGCCAUAUUGCCUUUUCUCUCUGAAAUGCAAGAUUUGGCAAAGCCAAUUUCCACAUUUGGCCGUGGCCUCUCAGGCUUCUGUGCCAUCCCCGUGGAACGUGGUGCUGAUCCUGGGUCUCCCCUCUCCAGCCCUGGCUUUGUCCACUUUGCCCCUCCUGGGCUCCGCCUUGCCCUCCUCCUGCGGCUGCCAUGCCCGUCCUGAACUCAGCUCCUCUCUGACCCCACGCACGGCUCCUCUCUGACCCCACGCACGGCUCCUCUCUGACCCCACGCACGGCUCCUCUCUGACCCCACGCACGGCUCCUCUCUGACCCCACGUCCGGGGCUGCGUCCCGCCUCGGCUGCUCUCACUGCAGCCGUUUCUUCACAGGGUGAUCCUCACAGAAACACUCAAAGCCUUCUGUUACGUACAAAGGACCGCGUGUCAGUAAUCUACAGCCAUUUACCAGUUACCAAGAAAACACGGACGUUUCCACUAAAAAUCGCAAACGUUUCUUUCAAGCAAGGAGCGCCCUGCGCCAGAGGCUGUGGGAGGAGUGAGGAGUCUGGGUUCGUUCCAGCCGCAAUGCUCCCAAAUCCUGUGGUUUGCCCCGGUGUGCCACAGACUUUUCUGUUUCUGUGUGUGCCAUGGCUCUCUGAAGACAAGCCUGUGGGUCAUGAUUUCCCGCUCCCCCAGCUCGUGCUGCACGGCAGCUCAGCAGCAGGUCUGCUCCUCUGUGCUGAACUGAAGGGAGCCGAGUGCUCGCCCUCCGUCCGGGCCGGAGCUCAGAUCGUCCUGCCUCACGUACAAGAAGUAACCAGUUCUUUGGCCUUCAGACUCCCUGUUUCACUGGGGACAUGGAUGAAGCUGGAAACCAUCAUUCUCAG